RNAcentral lists this ribosomal RNA (255 nucleotides) under uncultured bacterium. Its description in RNAcentral is "partial 16S ribosomal RNA". It matches the Rfam family "Bacterial small subunit ribosomal RNA", at positions 524 to 776 of the family's 1533-position model. The record is from RNAcentral.
UACGAAGGGGGCUAGCGUUGUUCGGAUUUACUGGGCGUAAAGCGCACGUAGGCGGAUUGUUAAGUGAGGGGUGAAAUCCUGGAGCUCAACUCCAGAACUGCCUUUCAUACUGGCAAUCUAGAGUCCGGAAGAGGUAAGUGGAACUCCUAGUGUAGAGGUGGAAUUCGUAGAUAUUAGGAAGAACACCAGUGGCGAAGGCGGCUUACUGGUCCGGUACUGGACGCUGAGGUGCGAAAGCGUGGGGGAGCAAACAGG